Long non-coding RNA from Vulpes vulpes (red fox), 2586 nucleotides. NCBI's taxonomy places the organism in Eukaryota, Metazoa, Chordata, Mammalia, Carnivora, Canidae. The record is from Ensembl.
GAAGGCGUCGGGACGGUUCCCUGGGAGGGCGGGGAGGCGUCGGGACAGUUCCCUGAGGGGGGGAGGCGACGGGCCGGAGGGGGAAGGCAUUGGGAUGGUUCCUGGAAGGCGAACACCCGGCGAGCAAGUGUGCCGGGCAUGAGGGCCGAGGUGUCUUCAAAGUGCUCCCGCCUGUCCCCUUUUCCGACACCUGAGAGCGUCUUGUUCCGGGACUUCGCAGGAAGCCCCUGGGGCUGCGGGCCGGGCGGGCACAGCUGGCGUCCCCCCUUCCCCUGUGCUCCUGGCAAGGUUGAAAAGAAGGAAUUCUCUGACGGAGACAGGUGGAAACGGGUUCCCUCACUUUUUAUUUUUCGACUCACCCAGACAACACGUUCACCUUAUCAAAGACUCUUGGCAUCGAGUUUGAAGUUUCAGAGCGUCCGAACUCAAUUUUUGAGGUGGCAUCGGAAAACAGCGUCGCAGCAUUUUAGUGAACGUCUUCCCACGAUCCAGGAAAGUCAGCAGGAACUCUUCCCAUCAUCCUCCACUCCAAAUUUACCUUGUUCUUCAAACUGGUCAAACCUCAAGUAAAACCUUUCCCAAAUUACGAAAUAUUUUAAAAAGUGAAAUUAUGCCCGCGACUGUUAAUGAGGGAAAGGUCUACUUGUGUGCUUUCGUUAUGACUCCUCUCAGAUCAUCUAAAAAGCCCUGUAUUCUCUCCACAUUCUGUUUCCUUUAAGUCCUGUAACAGCAGGUGGCAGGUAUUCUUUGGAGAAGGCGUGGUUCCUCUGAGGCCAGCCAGAGCCCCUGCCAGCCCCGCAGAGCGUAGCCUGAGCUUCCCCGGCGGGCAAGCACUGGGGAGUUGGGAUUAGGGCCACACCGGGCCCACCGCGUUCAGAGCUGGUCACAUGACACUUGGGGGUCCUGUGUUCGGCUCCACGAGGCCACAUUUCUACCCAGCGGCUGUCGAUCCAGGGAACCUCCGGAGAGGCUGAGGGGCAGGGUGCACACUGGCAGAGGUGCGUGUAAAGGGGCGGCCGGUGUCCAGCAUGAGGAGACUCACCCAUGGGGGCUGCGCAGCUUCCCUGAUGCUCGAAGCCCCAUCGAGGGACAGAGCCACAUGUGAGGUUUGGUGUCGGAGAGCUCAGGUCAGGGCAGAAGGGAAAUACAGGGAAGCCAACCUCGGAUCAAAAUGAAGAAACCCCUUCUGACCUGGAGAAUGCCCCAGCCCAGUGGGCCGCCUCACGACAAGGUCAUCCUAGCGACUCCUGGUGUCCGUAGGUCCCUUUAAAGUUUGCAACACAUUCCUACAGGUAUUACCGCAGUCGAGAGGGAUUACUCUGGUUUCAGUGAAGAUAAGAGAGCGAUGCUGAAAAAUGAAAUGACUUUCCCAAAGUCCAUGUAGGCUCAUCCUAGAGUCUUAGGGGAGCUGAAGGAUGUCCUCCAAACAGAGAAGGUGAGCAGACAGUUUGAGAUUGAGGGCAGCCCUGUCUGCCUCCCGGCCCAGGGCUCACAGCUCACAACCCACUUGGGGUUCCUCUUGGUCUGGGGAACCCACGGGGUCACCCCUCACGCCUCUUCUCCCUCCUCGUACACAGCAGUGCGACAUGGUAGCCGAGGCUUCCGCCAGCUGGCUCCCAACCUCAGCUCUACCACUGAUCCAGCUGUGGAGGCCUGAGUGGGUUUCUUACCUUCUUCUAGCCUCAGCCACAUCAGGGGCCUGCCCCGGGGGACAGUCAUCCUCGUGCUGCCAGGAUUCAAUGAGAUGAUGCACGUGCAUCUUGAUCCCAAAUCAACACCAGUGGUCUCCAGCCUGACUCUACCUCUACCAUCACCUUGUCCAGGCCUGUUAUUGCUCCCCCGGAGCCACAACAGCCUCUGCACUAGUCUUCCCACAACCAUUCACACCCUGUCUCCUCUGUUGUCCAUAUUACAGGAAGAGCGACCCUCCCAAAAUGCAAAUCUCAUCAUGUCACUCCCUGGCUGAAAACCCUUUAGUGGUUUCCUUUGAUUUUAAGAUAAAGGCCAAAAUAUUUUUUUAAAAGAUUUUAUUUAUUUAUUCAUGAGUGACACAGAGAGACAGAGAGGCAGAGAAAUAGGCAGAGGGAGAAGCAGGCUCCAGGCAGGAAGCCCAACGUGGGACUCAAUCCUGGAACUCCAGGACCGCGCCCUGGGCCGAAGGCAGGAGCUAAACCACUGAGCCAUCCAGGGAUCCCCCAAAGUCCAAAAUAUAUAACAAAGCCCACGGCACCUCCCAGGCUGGCCCCCAGGCAACCUCUUUGGGUCUGGCCACAGUCGACUUCUUCCUCACACCACACAGACUCUUUUUCACCUUGGGGCCUAGAAAUGUCCUAUCACUCCCUCAGGAAAUCACACUGCUCCACCCUACCCUACAUGCUCUCAGAUCCCCAUUUGUCUCUCCUUUCGUGGCACGGUGCCCGCUUACAGUUGUAUAUUUGUGUGAUUAUUCACCACGCUCUGUCUCUAUAAACUCUAAGGUCUUGAAGGUGUUGCUCACUGCUGUUCCCAACAUCCAGCGUGGGGCUUGCCUUUCGGCAGGUGCUCAAAGAAUAUGCAUUGAAUGAAUAAAUGGCCUCAAAGGGGACA